RNAcentral lists this ribosomal RNA (300 nucleotides) under uncultured eukaryote. RNAcentral describes it as "partial 18S rRNA". It matches the Rfam family "Eukaryotic small subunit ribosomal RNA", at positions 111 to 414 of the family's 1831-position model. The record is from RNAcentral.
UUUAGUCUAUUCGAUAGUCUCUUACUACUAGGAUACCCGUAGUAAUUCUAGAGCUAAUACUUGCGUAAACACUCGACUUUUGGAAGAGUGGUAUUUAUUAGAUUGAAACCAACCUGUUUCGGCAGUGUACUGGUGAUUCACAAUAACUUUGCGAAUCGCAUGGCUUUUGCCGGCGAUAGUUCAUUCAAAUUUCUGCCCUAUCAGCUUUCGACGGUAGACUAGUGGCCUACCGUGGCAUUAACGGGUAACGGAGAAUUAGAGUUCGAUUCCGGAGAGGAAGCCUGAGAAACGGCUACCACA